CAGUCGCCGCGGGAAUACGUAGGUGGCAAGCGUUGUCCGGAUUUAUUGGGCGUAAAGCGAGCGCAGGCGGUCAAUUAAGUCUGAUGUGAAAGCCCCCGGCUCAACCGGGGAGGGUCAUUGGAAACUGGUUGACUUGAGUGCAGAAGAGGAGAGUGGAUUCCAUGUGUAGCGGUGAAAUGCGUAGAUAUAUGGAGGAACACCAGUGGCGAAGGCGACUCUCUGGUCUGUAACUGACGCUGAGGCUCGAAAGCGUGGGUAGCAAACAGGAUUAGAUACCCCCGUAGUCCCUGUCUCUUAUACA
Molecule: ribosomal RNA, 301 nt
Filed under: uncultured bacterium
Lineage: Bacteria
Description: partial 16S ribosomal RNA
Rfam family: Bacterial small subunit ribosomal RNA
Source: RNAcentral